GUGCUGGUUUUGUCAGCACACAUUCUAAAAUUAUAAUGAUACAGGGAAGAUUAGCAUGACUCCUGAGUAAAAAUGACAUGCAAAUGCGUGAAGUGUUCCAUAUGUUU
Dipodomys ordii (Ord's kangaroo rat) is the source of this 107-nucleotide small nuclear RNA. The record is from Ensembl. Lineage: Eukaryota; Metazoa; Chordata; Mammalia; Rodentia; Heteromyidae.